Molecule: ribosomal RNA, 468 nt
Filed under: uncultured bacterium
Lineage: Bacteria
Description: partial 16S ribosomal RNA
Rfam family: Bacterial small subunit ribosomal RNA
Source: RNAcentral
GACGAACGCUGGCGGCGUGCUUAACACAUGCAAGUCGAACGGAAAGGCCCUGCUUUUGUGGGGUGCUCGAGUGGCGAACGGGUGAGUAACACGUGAGUAACCUGCCCUUGACUUUGGGAUAACUUCAGGAACCUGGGGCUAAUACAGGAUAGGAGCUCCUGCUGCAUGGUGGGGGUUGGAAAGUUUCGGCGGUUGGGGAUGGACUCCCGGCUUAUCAGCUUGUUGGUGGGGUAGUGGCUUACCCAGGCUUCGACGGGUAGCCGGCCUGAGCGGGUGACCGGCCACAUUGGGACUACGAUACGGCCCAGACUCCUACGUGAGACAGCAGUGGGGAAUAUGGCACAAUGGUCGGAAGCCUGAUGCAGCAACGCCGCGUGCGGGAUGACGGCCUUCGGGUUGUAAACCGCUUUCGCCUGUGACGAAGCGUGAGUGACGGUAAUGGAUAAAGAAGCACCGGCUAACUACGUG